This 72-nucleotide transfer RNA is filed under the name Camelus bactrianus (Bactrian camel). It matches the Rfam family "tRNA". From Rfam's summary of the family: Transfer RNA (tRNA) molecules are approximately 80 nucleotides in length. Their secondary structure includes four short double-helical elements and three loops (D, anti-codon, and T loops). Further hydrogen bonds mediate the characteristic L-shaped molecular structure. tRNAs have two regions of fundamental functional importance: the anti-codon, which is responsible for specific mRNA codon recognition, and the 3' end, to which the tRNAs corresponding amino acid is attached (by aminoacyl-tRNA synthetases). tRNAs cope with the degeneracy of the genetic code in two manners: having more than one tRNA (with a specific anti-codon) for a particular amino acid; and 'wobble' base-pairing, i.e. permitting non-standard base-pairing at the 3rd anti-codon position. The record is from Rfam by way of RNAcentral. Lineage: Eukaryota; Metazoa; Chordata; Mammalia; Artiodactyla; Camelidae. RNAcentral also lists the same sequence under 1 other name.
GAGGGUAUAGGUCAGUGAGGGAGUACAUGUUUAGCAUGCUUGAAGUCCUGGGUUCAAUCCCCAGUACCUCCA